Molecule: long non-coding RNA, 923 nt
Filed under: Gossypium barbadense (sea-island cotton)
Lineage: Eukaryota; Viridiplantae; Streptophyta; Magnoliopsida; Malvales; Malvaceae
Description: long non-coding RNA (GBAR_LNC016617)
Source: RNAcentral
UUAAAUAAAAAUAUCAGUGUUUUAUAAACCUUGUCUUGCUAAAACUUUUCUUUUUCUCUUUUUUUUCAAUGAUGGUUGAUCUGUGAAAGAAAAUCUCCCGUGAGUUUAGUAGUAUGCUCUGUGUUUGCCAUAUGAUGGAUCCUGCACAUUAGAAAACUAAGCUUAGACCAGGGGUACUAAUUUCAGUUGGAUUUGAAGAAGUAGUCGGGUUUAAUGGAUUAACAGCUAAAAGGCAGUGCCUGUUUGAUGGCCAAAAAGAAGGGCCUUGUUUUGUGGCAUAACAUACCUGCUGUUAAGUUUAUUAAAUCUUGAUAUCCUGGCCUUGAAUCCCACUGCAAUUUGGCAUAUUAUAGAUUUUAAAGAUUUUUUAUGUUUUGACUUCACAUUUAGAAUAAACUUGGAUAAAUAAAUGUCGAGAUACAACUAGAGGUGUCCAUAAGAUUGGCCGAGUUUAGGUUGGGCCCAACCAAAAUUGUCAGGCCUAGGUCUAACUCGAAUAAUAGGCCUAAUAUUUUGCUCAAGUUCGAUCCAAAUAAAAAUGUUAAAACCCCAGCUUGGCCUGACUCGGCCCGCAUGUAUUAAUUUUUUUAUAUUAUUGAUUAUAUAAUUUAAAAAAACAUAAAAAAUACUAAAAUAUUAAAAUAAAUGUUUCCCAACAAAUAGAAAAUAAUAAAUAUAUGUAUAGUUAAAUAACAUUAAGAUAUGUGCAAUUUAAUAAGCAAAUGCCUCUAAAAUAGUAACAAAAUUAACAGUAAAAUAAUAGUUAUACAAUAUUCAAAUAAUAAUAACAAAAUAGUACCAACAUAACAGUGAAAUAGUAGCAAAAUAGUGAAAAAAUAACAAGAAAAUAGCAAAAAAGUAAAAAAGCAAGGAAAAGCAACAUUUUUUUUUCAUAUUCGAGCCAGGCUGAGCUGGGCUUGGGC